Carassius auratus (goldfish) is the source of this 427-nucleotide non-coding RNA. The record is from the annotation of a RefSeq genome assembly. NCBI's taxonomy places the organism in Eukaryota, Metazoa, Chordata, Actinopteri, Cypriniformes, Cyprinidae.
UCAAGGUGCAAACAUGAUGAUACCUUAUGCUCUUCUUCUGCUGUUGUUCAUAAAAAGUGACACAUUGGCACAGUCAAUAACACCACAGGAAAACAAGACACUUGCAACUGUGGGGCAAAAAGUCACCCUGUCCUGCAAAUAUGAAGGAAGUAUAACUAACCUGCACUGGUAUCGCCAAUAUCCCAGAUCCAAACCAGAGUUCCUGGCUUGGAUUUACCCACAAGGUACUACAAGUGACCCACUUCCUCCCCGAAUUAUACCAAGAGUGGACAAAAAUCUUGUGAGUCUGGAGAUCUCUGAUGCUGAAGUAACAGAUUCUGCUCUGUACUACUGCGCCCUGACGCCCACAAUGACAGGAAACUCAACUACAGUGUGCCAGUAUCGGAGAUACUAUUACACCAGACAAAACAGAGAUAUUUGCUGCUGA